This 1399-nucleotide long non-coding RNA is filed under the name Pandoravirus dulcis. Its description in RNAcentral is "putative ncRNA". The record is from RNAcentral.
GGCGACACGCGCCCUCGUAAAGCAUGCGGCCGGCGUGGUUCACGAUGCGCCCGUGCGCGAUGCCCUCGGCGUCGACCUCGCCGCCUAGCGCGCUUGAUAUCGUUGCGGCGUCGGCGGCAAAGUGCGCUCUGUGGUCUGCGCGCGCGAGGACCGCCCUCGGCUGCGACGCCCCGUCCGAGGAUGACCACACGGCCUCGAUCCAGGCCGCCAGGUGGCCCGCGGCGUCGCGCCUAAUCUCGACGGCAUAGUCUGCAUUGCGCGAGCCGGGUGGCGACGCAUAGCGCGCGCAUACUUUGUCCGGUGGCGAGCCCGACACCAAUGGCCCGAGUGGCGAUCCCAAAGCCGAUGACCCGAGUGGCGGUGCCGACGUCGGACCGUCGCGGCGGCAGCGGGCCUCGACGUCGUGAACGAGGCACAGCCAGCGCCAGUCGCGACCGGCCGCGAUCAUGUGAGCAAAAGGCAGCGGAGGAGAAGAAGGAGACGAAAGCGAGUCGGCGUGCUGCGUCUCGCGCAACGACCCGUACGCGGUCAUGACGCCAGCGACGCUGCCCGUGUAGAGGGCGGACCCGUACAGCCGGCCAAAGACGUGGCGCCACAGGGGCUGGUCGACGGCGAUCUCGGCCAGGCGGCGGCACGUGGCCCCCAUGCGCACCAGGUCGACGGGGUCGAGCCACAGGGCGACGGCGACGACAAGUUCAGACGGGAGCGAGAUCAGGUCCGCUGGCGGCGGCGCGUAGCGCGUGCGCCGUCUUUGGCGUGGUCGCGCCGCCUCCUCUUCCUUGGCGGCGCCCUCUGUGCGGCGCUUGCGUGCGCGCCUCGAAAAGAGAGCGUCGUGAUGUGAUUCGGACCCGGUCUCGGCCGUCGGUUGCGUCACGACGACAGCAUCGAUGGCGGGAGCCGCCCGGUCCGUUUGCACCGCCGUGUCCAUCAAUGAGAGAAGGAAAAAAAAAGAAAAAACACAACAGAAAAAGAAGGACGUAUGCGCGUCGGAGAAAAAAGGCACAGAAAAAGGAAACAAAACCGACGCGUCGAGAGCGAGACGAGCGACGCGACGCCAAAAAGAGGCAGGAGGAUGAAAAAAAAAAGAACAACGGGUCGCGAGCGACGGCGGCCGCGACGCCAUCCCGGUCGCCCCGCUCGACGACCUGGCCCGCACCAAGGCUCUGAUUUCUUUUCUUCCCCCUUUUUUUCUCCCAACUCGGGUCGUCGUUCGAUUCCAAGGCGCACCGUGCUGCCGGUGGCCGACCUUUUUUGGGGCGCCCGCCGCCGACGGCAUCUGCGCCAGACAGAGCCGCUGCAUGCCGCCGGUCACCCCAAUUGAAAAAAAAAAGAGCACAAACCAGAAGCGCGCUGCAGCAGCCACGCCGCAAACCUGGUGCUAGCAAAAUAUACUCUUGCC